Molecule: ribosomal RNA, 400 nt
Filed under: uncultured bacterium
Lineage: Bacteria
Description: bacterial SSU rRNA
Rfam family: Bacterial small subunit ribosomal RNA
Source: RNAcentral
UGGGGGAUAUUGGACAAUGGGGGAAACCCUGAUCCAGCAACGCCGCGUGAAUGAAGAAGGCUUUAGGGUUGUAAAGUUCUUUUGUCCUGGAGCAAAGUUACGCUAUGAAUAGUAGAGUAAGAUGAGAGUACAGGAAGAAUAAGCACCGGCUAACUACGUGCCAGCAGCCGCGGUAAUACGUAGGGUGCGAGCGUUAAUCGGAAUAACUGGGCGUAAAGAGUGCGUAGGCGGAUAUACAAGUUAGAUGUGAAAUGUCUGAGCUUAACUUGGGAAUGGCAUUUAAGACUGUAUGUCUAGAGUUAGUAUGAGGAUGGGGGAAUUCCGAGUGUAGCAGUGAAAUGCGCAGAGAUUCGGAGGAAUAUCAGUGGCGAAGGCGCCCAUCUGGGAUAUAACUGACGCU